CAGACUCCUGUGACACGCGUUUACCUAUAUAACAAACCCUCCCAUGUACCCCCAAACCUAAAAUAAAAGUUAAAAAAAAAGCAACACAGCUUUUUAUUUUUUCUUUUUAAUACCAUAAAGGUCACGGGCCAUUUGCCACCUGAACAGUCAGUAAUACAUGAGUGGAAAGAAACUGAACACCCAGGGACACCAGAGACUGUUCACUGUAGAGGAAGGAGGCAGGCAUAUGGCAUAAGGUGAACUUCCUCCAGUCCCAAAGUGGUUCCUCUCUCCUCUUAAAUGCAGGUCCCAUGGAAUUCAGACAAGGAAGUAAAGCAAAUGAGAAUGGCCCACAGGGGAGCAGUUCAAAUGCGCAGAAAAAGAUAGAGCAGCCCCAAUGAGGAAGGAAGGCUGGACAAGAAAUGGAUUUGUAGGGAAGACAAUGUGCACCCAUCGGAGCUCUGAUUGCUUUACUUUCACUACCCUCCCCUGCCCACUAACAUCGAAAAAGUAUCAAUGAUUUGUGAACAUGGCAUAUGGCAUACGAACACCCUGAGAGUAGGAUCGUGGGGCAUCCGAUGGUGAUUGUCCUUAGAGUUGGUGGGGGCCCAGCUUCCCGCUGUCUGUGAACUGCUGCGUGCAGAAUCGGUGUCUUCUUUAACUUCACAACGAUGCCACAAGGCAAAUAGCAUUGUCUUCACUUUCUGUGUAAGAAAACUAAGGCUGGGUGAGAGUAUGCAGAGCUGGAUCAUGGAUUUGUUUGGCUCCUUCUAGUUUGAAAACCUGUGAGUAUUUUCCUGUCUCUAAUGCUAAUCUUAGCACUGUAUUUGGAAUAAGCAUAUAAACAUAUAACCACAAUCCACUCAGGUAAUAUGCAACUAAAUUAUAAAUAAAUGCUCAAUGAGAUUAUGAGUGAUUGAAUGAGCUAUAUAUAAGAAUAAUAACUGGUGGAAGUGUUAUUCAUAGGAUAAAGGAGAAAUCAUUUAAAUGGCUAACAGUAUAAGGAGGGUUAAAUCAAGCACCCAGGUGUGGAAAUAGCUGAUUUACAUAUAUAGUUUAUGCCAUGUAAAACGUUUAUGAUCUAAUAUUGGAUGAAAAAACAGAAACAACAUUUUAUAUACAGUAUAAUCUAAAAUGUCUACAUUUCAUUAAAAAUGCAAGAAUAUAAUUAUCAAAAUUUGAGUGAUAAAAUUAUGA
Molecule: long non-coding RNA, 1176 nt
Filed under: Homo sapiens (human)
Lineage: Eukaryota; Metazoa; Chordata; Mammalia; Primates; Hominidae
Description: HSALNT0082914
Source: RNAcentral